RNAcentral lists this long non-coding RNA (1190 nucleotides) under Homo sapiens (human). RNAcentral describes it as "HSALNT0337907". The record is from RNAcentral. Lineage: Eukaryota; Metazoa; Chordata; Mammalia; Primates; Hominidae.
UCAGAGGCACAAUUACAUAGAGAAGGAAUGUGGAGUUUGUCUGGAAUUCUGGUUAUUUACUGAAUAUCUCUUGCCAAUUUUCUGCCUGGUGUCAGCCAAAAUGAGCAAUGGAAACAAUCAUGAUGUCACAAAGGCAUGGUCAGCACGAAGUCAGACCCAUCGUGGGUGCAGGUCACAGCUUGCAAGCAAGCAAGCUCCACUAGCAGAACAGAACUGUUGGGUGUGGCUGAGGGGAAUCUAGAACACAGGCAGAGGAGGGAGAGUAUAAAUAUCAACUAACGCUCAGCACCAAAUGCAGAAGUGGUGAACGCUGCUUGGUCUACCAUCCUCUUGCUAUGUGGCAUUGGUCAGAAUUUAGUCAUGUGGACAUACCAAACUGCAAAUGAGGCUGGGAAAUGAAUUGUAGCUACAUGCCCAGGAGGAAGGAGACUUGGCCUGAAUUAUUUCUUGCAGAAGAUCCAAAAACCUUCUGUUGGGGUCUGAAUUGGGACUCCUUUCCUGUAGCAUCUUUCUGGUGACCACUGAAGGGACUAUAGUGCAGAAAACCCCCACCCAAAGGCUAACUUUCGAUGCAGAACCCAUGGAAACAGAAGGGAAACUAAAUGUUAGAAUCUGAUCAUGUGAAGCUUUGGUCACCAAAGAAAUGAAUCAUAAUGCUAAUAAUGAGUUCCUGACUCAACCCUGAGGAUCUACCAAAAUUUUCCUCCUUUGUUCACCAGCUGAUGCCAGGUGUGGAGGGGCAGAAGGAAGAAGCAAAGUGGAGUAGGAAGUGUGAGAAUGUGCAUGUAAUCUACGCCUAUGCAGCACAUCCAGGCACGCCAGCUUCAACUCGCUUCAUCAUGAGAGACCAAAAAUAAACAUAAUGAAAUAGAGGACAUUCUCGCGCCUCAAAAAAUUGAACUAUCUUAAAAGGAAUAUUGUUAUUGCCUCCAGUUUACUUUUGAGAAAUGUGAGUCACAAAAAGUAAAACAACGUACUCAAGGUCACACCGCUGAGAAGUGUGUUAGGUGAGACAUCUUGAAGCUCUUCCUUCUCAUGCUGGAAAGGCUGUCAGAAAGUUCAAGUCCUCCUCUUGACAUAGUACAUGCCUAUUUGCUCAUUGGGAUAGGCUAACCUUUUCAAGCAAUGUGCGGCACCCCUUAGCUUCAAUAAAGUGUUCAAUGUAAGAAGAAUAUGCUCUGUAUCCAUAA